Long non-coding RNA from Pteropus alecto (black flying fox), 1671 nucleotides. RefSeq lists it as uncharacterized. The transcript has 2 exons. The record is from RefSeq and is a predicted model, not a curated record. NCBI's taxonomy places the organism in Eukaryota, Metazoa, Chordata, Mammalia, Chiroptera, Pteropodidae.
AACUCUCUCUUUGUUUUAAUUUUGCAUACUGUUUUAUAAGCGACAUUCAAACUCAAUACCCAUUAUCACGUAUUAGGACGUAUUGAAAAUGGAAACUGGACCAUUGUUGUAACUUGAAAAAUACCGAGAAAGAAUUUCGUUCUCUGGUGUUGGGUUGUGUAAAAUGUUUUUGAAGAUACAUAUUUAUUCCUUAAUUUUCUUUAGUUUUUUUAUCCCCCCCUUUUACUAUAAAAUGUAAACAUUUACCAAUUAACCCAUUAUGUGUACAGUUAGUGUGGCAUUAAGUACAUUCACAACCCUUACCUUUUAUAUGUGUAAAUAUAGAGGUUUGUGUAAUACAGUUUCUUUUAACAACAUAGUAGUAUCAGUAGGAUACAGGUUUUGAGAUUUCAUGGGGUCGAUUUGUUUUUUUCAGUACAGUGGGGGGCUCUGCAGGUUAAUUUGCUCAUGAGUCUUUCAGGAUUGUGAGCCUCAGGCCCUCCUCAUCAAUAUGUAGGAAAGGAUUGUGCAGACUCAUCUUGUAUAUUUGCUGCCAUAGACAUGUAACCAAAUAUUACUUCAGGAGCCUUUCUUUUUAGUGGGGGGAAAAAUGACAUUUUGAUGAGAUUAUAAUCCGAGUAUCUUAGAAAGUGUCAUAUAUAUAAUUUUAAGUGCUGCCUUCCCCGGUAGAAUAGGAGGUCUGUUCUUUAAAAUAAAAAGAUCGCGUAAUUAAAAAUGGUGUUUUUUAAAAAAAAUUCUUUCAUUUCGAUUUGAGGUUUUGAUAUAAUUUUUAAUGUCCACUUGUACCCUACUCUACCUUUAGUGUUUCAUAAUUGACCUGUAGCUUUCUCUGAAUAUGCAUAAAAGCUGUUAGAAAAUACAGUUGACUUGGAACAACAUGGGUUUGAACUGCAUUGGUUCACCUAUAUGCAGAUUUUUUCCAGUAAAUAUCUCCACGUUUUACAUCCUUGGAUUCAACCAACUGCAGAUCAAGAACAGUAUUUUCAUUUGGCGGUUGGGGGUCUGCAGAUGCAGAAGGCCAACUAUAUGCAUUGUUUUUUGCCAAUUUACAUAAGAGACUUGAGCAUUCUGAGUUUUCUUAUCUGUAGGGUCCUGGAACCCAUCGCUUUUGCAUAUCGAGAGAUGACUGUAGUUAAGUUUUUGGGGAGUCACAAGUUAUAUGUGGAUUUUUACUGCUGAGGGGUUGGUGCCUCUACCCACCCUCCCAGUUGUUCAAGGGUCAGCUGUAUUAUUAAAACCAGAUUUACCUUUACUUUGUUGCCAUCUGGGUCUUUAAACUUGGGUGCUUAUUCUUUCUAAACUAAUAGCAGUGAAUACAUAUGAAUUUUGUUAGCACUUUGUUAGGGCCUCAGGCUGUUCUUUAGUUAUUAAUUAUUUAGUGGAAUGGCUUUUCUUCAUGACUUAGAACUUUGGUUACUCUUUAAAGUAAAUUGAAUCUAAGAGCUUAUUUUUUGACUGUGUAAUAUUUAGUCACAGGACUUAGAAAUAGGAAGACAGAACAGCAGCAGUUUACCGUAUGAAAUCUGUUGCACAGUCUGAGGAACUAGCUUGUGUGUUUGAUUAAUUCAAGCAGGAAGGUUGACGCAGAAAUGUCCAGGAGGAGUCCCUACUGCUUGGAUUCGUGAAAGUACAGUUUAUAGAUUUUUUUUUCCUUAGAGUUGGAAUCAGUGG